Molecule: ribosomal RNA, 262 nt
Filed under: uncultured bacterium
Lineage: Bacteria
Description: partial 16S ribosomal RNA
Rfam family: Bacterial small subunit ribosomal RNA
Source: RNAcentral
GUCCACGCCCUAACGAUGUCAACUAGGUGUUGGGUGGGUAAACCAUUUAGUACCGGAGCUAACGCGUGAAGUUGACCGCCUGGGGAGUACGGCCGCAAGGUUAAACUCAAAGGAAUUGACGGGGACCCGCACAAGCGGUGGAUGAUGUGGAUUAAUUCGAUGCAACGCGAAAACCUUACCUACCCUUGACAUGUCCAGAAGCCUGAAGAGAUUUGGGUGUGCCCGAAAGGGAACUGGAACACAGGUGCUGCAUGGCUGUCGU